CAGCCGCCGCGGUAAUACAGAGGGUGCGAGCGUUAAUCGGAUUUACUGGGCGUAAAGCGUGCGUAGGCGGCUUCUUAAGUCGGAUGUGAAAUCCCUGAGCUUAACUUAGGAAUUGCAUUCGAUACUGGCAAGCUAGAGUAUGGGAGAGGAUGGUAGAAUUCCAGGUGUAGCGGUGAAAUGCGUAGAGAUCUGGAGGAAUACCGAUGGCGAAGGCAGCCAUCUGGCCUAAUACUGACGCUGAGGUACGAAAGCAUGGGGAGCAAACAGGAUUAGAUACCCCCGUAGUCCCUGUCUCUUAUAU
RNAcentral lists this ribosomal RNA (301 nucleotides) under uncultured bacterium. RNAcentral describes it as "partial 16S ribosomal RNA". It matches the Rfam family "Bacterial small subunit ribosomal RNA", at positions 509 to 809 of the family's 1533-position model. The record is from RNAcentral.